GCCAGAGUUUUGUUUCAAAACCACGAUGUUAAGAGUUUUUCAUGUUUUCCUACGAGAUUGAUAAAGUUAAGAUUCGGCUAGAACCUUAUUCUUCUUUUUUAAUUUUUGCAGUACAAGCAUACACAUGUUAACAACUUUGAGAAGAGUAGAUUGGCUAAGUAGAGCACUGGAAGCCAACUUUACGUUAAGAACUUAGAAUAUAGAGUUUCUGAAGUGUGCAUAAAUAGUAUACUACAUGUAUAUAUAAGAUCAUUUGGUUUUGUUUAAGAGAAAAAUGGGGAUAACAUUUCUCGCUAUGAAGAUGUCAUUUUAAUGAAUUAU
Molecule: long non-coding RNA, 321 nt
Filed under: Nicotiana tabacum (common tobacco)
Lineage: Eukaryota; Viridiplantae; Streptophyta; Magnoliopsida; Solanales; Solanaceae
Description: long non-coding RNA (NTAB_LNC003652)
Source: RNAcentral